Oncorhynchus nerka (sockeye salmon) is the source of this 298-nucleotide long non-coding RNA. RefSeq lists it as uncharacterized. NCBI's taxonomy places the organism in Eukaryota, Metazoa, Chordata, Actinopteri, Salmoniformes, Salmonidae. The transcript is spliced from 3 exons. The record is from RefSeq and is a predicted model, not a curated record.
CUUGACAAGUCCUAAAACUUCAGAAGGACAAAAAAAAAAUGGAUUUUAAAUGAUGACGUUUUUUUGUGCCCUUGAGGUGAAAAUUGACCCCCCGUUGGCACUUUUAGGGUUAAACAGACAGCUGGUCCCAGAACUGUGCCUAUAUAUACCCUUCUUCAUAUUUCUCCUCCCUGGCUUGACAAUCUCAGUCACUCAUCCCUCCGUCUUGCAACGCUCUCUUCCUUCUAGGAAGGGAUAUCAACCACCGGCCAAGAUGUCAGAUAAAAAGAUGUCGUCGAGUUGCAGGCAACAUCUCAAG